RNAcentral lists this ribosomal RNA (82 nucleotides) under Gonium pectorale. Its description in RNAcentral is "large subunit ribosomal RNA fragment L2". The record is from RNAcentral. Lineage: Eukaryota; Viridiplantae; Chlorophyta; Chlorophyceae; Chlamydomonadales; Volvocaceae.
ACCGGCUAUAAUUUAGCGUACCUUUUGCAUUAUGGGUCAGCUACUCAAUAAGCGUAAGAUAAGUGUAAAACUUACUGAGAUU